CUCCCCGACUGGCUCCUCUUCAUUAUAUCACCGCCUCACUCCCUCGCAGCCAAGCCCACCCUCACCCUCACCCUCGCCCCCUAUCGCUACCGCUCCAUCUCAACUCUUCUAAUCGGGCUUGUUCCUUUGUUUCUAGAUAUAGAGAAAGAUCUCAGAGAGUUGGAAGGGGAAAGACGGCGAGAUGCCCAGAAAGAAAAAUAUUUCAUUUUCCGAUGCAUAUUUGAAAGAAUGGCUUCAAGUCCCGUGGUUCAACAUCAUAAUAGAGGAGAUUUGCGGUUGAGGGAGUCGUUGCUGGGGGAAUAAAGUAAAAGAACAUGGCGGCAGAGGGAAGGAACCGCCUUGUACUUGGGGAUAUUGGCAAUAUGGUUACCCUUCGAGGGGCUGAAGGCAAGCAGCAGCUUCCUCAGGGGUCUUGCCCCUCACAAGGGGUUUUUGUGCACAACUACUGGCUAAUGCACAAGCUGCAGCAGCUGACAAGAACAGGAAAUGUAUUGGCGCUGUUAAUGUGGAUGGAGUUGCUGCUGCAAAUGGAGGUGCCUAGAAAGCCUCCUCCUCAGAAGAGAGCUACUGUGAAGCCAAUCAAGCCUGAAGCUGUGAAGCCAAUUGACACUAAAGAAGAGGUGAAGGAAAAGAACAGCCUCCACAGAAAGGCAGCAGCUGAAGAUUCAUUCUCUGUUGACCUCAUCUCUGGGAAUGAAUGGAAGUCUUUUGUUUCUGUUGAUUGAAUAAUUGGAGUUUUCAAAGUCUUUUCUUUCUGUUGAUUGAAUAAUUGGUUUGGACUUUUAUUGUUUUGGCAUAGGCUGCUUGUGGACUGAACAUUAAAUUACCAAUGGAGAAGAUUGACGGUAUUGAUGCUGGAGAUGUGUACAAUGAGUUGGCAGUUUUGGAGUAUGCAGAAGACAUUUAGAAGUUCUACAAUGAAGCUGAGAAUUUCAGGAUAUGAUGUUGUGUGGUGGAUCUGAUUCAGUAAUUAUACCAACUGGAGUGGGUGGAUUUAUUGCUUCCAGGGCACUUUCUCAGAGAAACAAUGAUCCUACUAGAGCUUCACGACCUUGGGAUAGUGACCGCGAUGGGUUUGUCAUGGGUGAAGGAGCUGGAGUUCUGCUUCUGGAAGAACUUGAGCAUGCGAAGAAAAGAGGUGCAACAAUCUAUGCUGAAUUUCUCAGUGGAAGAACCCCACCCUGAAGGAUUACAUUGGUUUUAAGUCAACCUUGGGCUUUUGUGCCAUGGAUGGAAAAGCUUAGCAUAGAGGAACAGCAAAGCUUUUUUUAUGGCAGGAAGGACAUCGUGCCGAGAUCUCUUUUAUGCUCCCUGGGUUCAUGAUCUCUUUAUGGAAAGAGUACAGGGUAAUGGGCAAUGCUCUUUAUUUUGUCCAAAUGAGGCACCAGGAUUGGCAGAUUGCUGCGGUGAAGAAUUUGAGGAACUUUAUACAGAAUAUGAAAGAAAGGGCAAGGCAAAGAAAGUUGUACAUUCACAAAAUCUCUGGUUUGAAAUCUUGAAGUCUCAGAUAGAAACUGGUACUCCCUACAUGCUAUAUAAGGCUGCUUGUGGUCUGAACAUUAUAUACCAAAGGAGAAGAUUGAAGAUAUUGAUGCUGGAGAUGUAUACAAUGAGUUGGCAGUUGUGGAGUAUGCAGAAGACAUUUACAAGUUCACAAGGAAGUUGAGGGCUGUGAACUUAGGUUUUAAGAUUUCUUAUUGGAAACCAGGCCCGGUUUUACAUUAUUCGCAGUGAAAUUAACGUAUUCAAAAUUGCUUUUGCUAUAUCAAGGAUUACGUUGUUUUAAAUCAACCUUGGGCUUUUGUGCAAUGGAUGGAAAAGCUUAGCAUAGAGGAAGGGUAAAGCUUUUUUUCGGCAGCCCAACAGGAACUGUGGUCUGCAAUCUGGCUUCAAUUGCUUUGCCACCUUUUGUCAGGGAAAAGGGGGUUCCAAUUAAACCACAACCAUCUAAGCUUUUUGGAAGCAGAGGCUCUAUAAAUCGAUACUUUGAUUUUGAUAAACUGGCAGAGGUUACUGCAAUAGUUACAACAAACCUGAACAAAAUUAUUGAUGUUAAUUUUUAUCCCGUCAAAACUGCAAAGAACUCUAAUUUACAUCACAGGUCCAUUGGGAUUGGUGUCCAAGGCUGACAUUAUCACAAGAGGCUCAGGAUCUAAACAAAGAAAUAUUUGAAACAAUAUACUACCAUGCUCUGAAAGCUUCUUCUGAUUUGGCUGCAAAGGAAGGCCCUCUAUGACACCUAUGACGGUAGUGCCAUAAGCAAGGGUACCCUCCAGCCAGAUAUGUGGGGAGUCACCCCCUCAAAUCAAUGGGAUUGGGUUGCUCUUCGAGCAAUGAUAGAUAAGAAUGAAGUAAGGAAUUCCCUUCUUGUAGCACCAAUGCCCACUGCUUCAACAAGCCAAAUUCUUGGAAAUAAUGAAUGCUUUGAGCCAUACACUUCCAACAUUUAUAGCCGCAGAGUUGUAAGGUUUCUUUGCCCAUAAGAUUCUGUUAGUUCACAUUUUAGUUUGCUACCUAUCCAAUUCUAACUACUGUUGUAUUUUGACAGCAGUGAUCAUAUAUCUGAUUUCGAGGAUUUUAUUACUACAAUGAUUCUUUAAUCUGGGUUGAUAAAGGUUAUUUGGGUGUCUUGAUUAAAGGUUUCACCUAAUCCAGGGCUGGGGAGAGUUGUGUUCUUGACUGCUCAUGAACUGUUUGAUUUAUUUCAUACUGGUCUCUUGAUUGGGUUUUUUUCAAUCUUUAUUUUCAUGAGUUAUGUUAGAGAGAUUAGUGGGGAGUUGAGAGAUACUCUCCUAGCCUAGGGUUUUGAAUAAGUGGUUGUCAUUACUUCUUACCUUGUAUAAAUAGCUAGGUUGUACAGCUCCUAAAGAUGAAUAUAUACAAACAUACGUACGAUAAACUGCUUUCUCUUAAACUAAACAAACAUGGUAUCAGAGCCUCGAAAGUGAGGCAGUGGGUGGUGGUCGGAACUGGGAGACGACGCCGGAGCUCGGAGUUCGUCGUCGCUGGGAUCCUCACGCGCCUCCACGCGCCGCCGUCGCAACCUUCACACGCCUGCCGUGCGGCGUUUUCCGGCGUCUUCUCCGGUCGCGAUUGGUAUGGCCGAGCUCGUCUUCCCGUGCUGAGUUUUCCCAGGAGAUCGUCGCCGCCGGAGUCCCAGCCCUAUCGUAUCGGAAAACGCGCAUAAUCCGCCCUCGAUGCGGCUGAUAUUUUUGCCCGUUGCGACGACCCUCUCCCGCUAGCUGAUCAUGUGCUAACGAACUUUGAAGAUUUUGAUGAAAACCCCAAAACCAAGCUCGUUUCAUCAUCGAAAGAGUCGGAGAAGAAGACCAGAGAAAAUUGGUUCGCUGGAGAAGAAUAUAAAGAUGUGAAAUGAUUAAAAUGCCCUCAUUAUUUUAAAUUCCGGCGACAUUUGGCCGGAGUGACCAAAAUUGAUACAAAUUUCAAAGUCGUGGUAUGCAAUUAACACUUUUGAAA
Long non-coding RNA from Ipomoea triloba (trilobed morning glory), 3477 nucleotides. RefSeq lists it as uncharacterized. Lineage: Eukaryota; Viridiplantae; Streptophyta; Magnoliopsida; Solanales; Convolvulaceae. The transcript is spliced from 19 exons. The record is from RefSeq and is a predicted model, not a curated record.